This 2900-nucleotide ribosomal RNA is filed under the name Escherichia coli P0304816.1. Its description in RNAcentral is "bacterial LSU rRNA". It matches the Rfam family "Bacterial large subunit ribosomal RNA". Lineage: Bacteria; Pseudomonadati; Pseudomonadota; Gammaproteobacteria; Enterobacterales; Enterobacteriaceae. The record is from RNAcentral.
UUAAGCGACUAAGCGUACACGGUGGAUGCCCUGGCAGUCAGAGGCGAUGAAGGACGUGCUAAUCUGCGAUAAGCGUCGGUAAGGUGAUAUGAACCGUUAUAACCGGCGAUUUCCGAAUGGGGAAACCCAGUGUGAUUCGACACACUAUCAUUAACUGAAUCCAUAGGUUAAUGAGGCGAACCGGGGGAACUGAAACAUCUAAGUACCCCGAGGAAAAGAAAUCAACCGAGAUUCCCCCAGUAGCGGCGAGCGAACGGGGAGCAGCCCAGAGCCUGAAUCAGUGUGUGUGUUAGUGGAAGCGUCUGGAAAGGCGCGCGAUACAGGGUGACAGCCCCGUACACAAAAAUGCACAUGCUGUGAGCUCGAUGAGUAGGGCGGGACACGUGGUAUCCUGUCUGAAUAUGGGGGGACCAUCCUCCAAGGCUAAAUACUCCUGACUGACCGAUAGUGAACCAGUACCGUGAGGGAAAGGCGAAAAGAACCCCGGCGAGGGGAGUGAAAAAGAACCUGAAACCGUGUACGUACAAGCAGUGGGAGCACGCUUAGGCGUGUGACUGCGUACCUUUUGUAUAAUGGGUCAGCGACUUAUAUUCUGUAGCAAGGUUAACCGAAUAGGGGAGCCGAAGGGAAACCGAGUCUUAACUGGGCGUUAAGUUGCAGGGUAUAGACCCGAAACCCGGUGAUCUAGCCAUGGGCAGGUUGAAGGUUGGGUAACACUAACUGGAGGACCGAACCGACUAAUGUUGAAAAAUUAGCGGAUGACUUGUGGCUGGGGGUGAAAGGCCAAUCAAACCGGGAGAUAGCUGGUUCUCCCCGAAAGCUAUUUAGGUAGCGCCUCGUGAAUUCAUCUCCGGGGGUAGAGCACUGUUUCGGCAAGGGGGUCAUCCCGACUUACCAACCCGAUGCAAACUGCGAAUACCGGAGAAUGUUAUCACGGGAGACACACGGCGGGUGCUAACGUCCGUCGUGAAGAGGGAAACAACCCAGACCGCCAGCUAAGGUCCCAAAGUCAUGGUUAAGUGGGAAACGAUGUGGGAAGGCCCAGACAGCCAGGAUGUUGGCUUAGAAGCAGCCAUCAUUUAAAGAAAGCGUAAUAGCUCACUGGUCGAGUCGGCCUGCGCGGAAGAUGUAACGGGGCUAAACCAUGCACCGAAGCUGCGGCAGCGACACUAUGUGUUGUUGGGUAGGGGAGCGUUCUGUAAGCCUGUGAAGGUGUACUGUGAGGUAUGCUGGAGGUAUCAGAAGUGCGAAUGCUGACAUAAGUAACGAUAAAGCGGGUGAAAAGCCCGCUCGCCGGAAGACCAAGGGUUCCUGUCCAACGUUAAUCGGGGCAGGGUGAGUCGACCCCUAAGGCGAGGCCGAAAGGCGUAGUCGAUGGGAAACAGGUUAAUAUUCCUGUACUUGGUGUUACUGCGAAGGGGGACGGAGAAGGCUAUGUUGGCCGGGCGACGGUUGUCCCGGUUUAAGCGUGUAGGCUGGUUUUCCAGGCAAAUCCGGAAAAUCAAGGCUGAGGCGUGAUGACGAGGCACUACGGUGCUGAAGCAACAAAUGCCCUGCUUCCAGGAAAAGCCUCUAAGCAUCAGGUAACAUCAAAUCGUACCCCAAACCGACACAGGUGGUCAGGUAGAGAAUACCAAGGCGCUUGAGAGAACUCGGGUGAAGGAACUAGGCAAAAUGGUGCCGUAACUUCGGGAGAAGGCACGCUGAUAUGUAGGUGAAGUCCCUCGCGGAUGGAGCUGAAAUCAGUCGAAGAUACCAGCUGGCUGCAACUGUUUAUUAAAAACACAGCACUGUGCAAACACGAAAGUGGACGUAUACGGUGUGACGCCUGCCCGGUGCCGGAAGGUUAAUUGAUGGGGUCAGCGCAAGCGAAGCUCUUGAUCGAAGCCCCGGUAAACGGCGGCCGUAACUAUAACGGUCCUAAGGUAGCGAAAUUCCUUGUCGGGUAAGUUCCGACCUGCACGAAUGGCGUAAUGAUGGCCAGGCUGUCUCCACCCGAGACUCAGUGAAAUUGAACUCGCUGUGAAGAUGCAGUGUACCCGCGGCAAGACGGAAAGACCCCGUGAACCUUUACUAUAGCUUGACACUGAACAUUGAGCCUUGAUGUGUAGGAUAGGUGGGAGGCUUUGAAGUGUGGACGCCAGUCUGCAUGGAGCCGACCUUGAAAUACCACCCUUUAAUGUUUGAUGUUCUAACGUUGACCCGUGAUCCGGGUUGCGGACAGUGUCUGGUGGGUAGUUUGACUGGGGCGGUCUCCUCCUAAAGAGUAACGGAGGAGCACGAAGGUUGGCUAAUCCUGGUCGGACAUCAGGAGGUUAGUGCAAUGGCAUAAGCCAGCUUGACUGCGAGCGUGACGGCGCGAGCAGGUGCGUAAAGCAGGUCAUAGUGAUCCGGUGGUUCUGAAUGGAAGGGCCAUCGCUCAACGGAUAAAGGUACUCCGGGGAUAACAGGCUGAUACCGCCCAAGAGUUCAUAUCGACGGCGGUGUUUGGCACCUCGAUGUCGGCUCAUCACAUCCUGGGGCUGAAGUAGGUCCCAAGGGUAUGGCUGUUCGCCAUUUAAAGUGGUACGCGAGCUGGGUUUAGAACGUCGUGAGACAGUUCGGUCCCUAUCUGCCGUGGGCGCUGGAGAACUGAGGGGGGCUGCUCCUAGUACGAGAGGACCGGAGUGGACGCAUCACUGGUGUUCGGGUUGUCAUGCCAAUGGCACUGCCCGGUAGCUAAAUGCGGAAGAGAUAAGUGCUGAAAGCAUCUAAGCACGAAACUUGCCCCGAGAUGAGUUCUCCCUGACUCCUUGAGAGUCCUGAAGGAACGUUGAAGACGACGACGUUGAUAGGCCGGGUGUGUAAGCGCAGCGAUGCGUUGAGCUAACCGGUACUAAUGAACCGUGAGGCUUAACCUU